Selaginella moellendorffii is the source of this 168-nucleotide long non-coding RNA. RefSeq lists it as uncharacterized. The transcript has 3 exons. The record is from RefSeq and is a predicted model, not a curated record. Lineage: Eukaryota; Viridiplantae; Streptophyta; Lycopodiopsida; Selaginellales; Selaginellaceae.
AAAUGAAAAAUCUCAGAGAUUCCUACGGACGUGGAAAUCCACAACCAACAUGUACUUCCGAGCUCGCUAGCAUCUAUAAUGUGGAGGUUUGCAAUCGGCUCCCCUUGUCGUAAAGUAAGAAGCAGGACUUUUGUAUUUAUGGAAUAUUGCGGAGGACACGGUACUGCG